CAGAAACAAUUGAUCUUGAUGGAACAAUCUUGUUUUUAUAUAAAAUUUCAAGCUGGUGAUGACAUGUGUAAAAGGAAAAGUGCUGCAAGCAGUAAAUGCUGUUCAGUUUGCAGUCCAUUACAUCAACAUAUCUAAAUGAUCCUCUUUAGCCCAGUACUUCAAUAGGAUGUUGGAAAAGAAGACUUCCACUCUAAUAGGAUGAAAAAAUGAUCAUUUAUUUACAUCAUUCUGAUUUCUUUUAAUUGCUUCACAAUCCACUAUAAAGAAGAUUCGCUCUGACCCUAAAUUUUCUACUUUUUUUCCCACUUUUCUCUCACAUAAAUUAGGUGUUUCAUUCUUUUUCCUCCUUAUUAUUUUAUUUACACCAUUCUGUGUUGAGCACAGAAAGGUGGAAGUAUAUAGCCCUGUUCUCUGUUUUUAAUGCUCUGUAUAUUUUUGUUUCCUUUUCUGUGGAAUCAGUUUUUCAUUAUCCUUAUAGAAUCAGUUUUUCAUUAUCCUUAUAAGGAGAUGCCAUUUUUCUCAAUCUUUCCUUAAAAUCUAACUAACUUCUUUACUAAGUCAUUUCUGUUCCUUAUAGAAUAGUGAAUGUGACUGUUCUUAGUGUAUUGACUGGUCCCUUUACAUCAGCAUUGUAACUUUUAGGUAUUAGUUUACUUUCAUAUGAUUGUUAUUUCAUAUAUCAUUGUGAACAUAUUUUUUUCCAAAAAUAAAAUACAUAUUGACCUAAAAGAAAUUGCAUCUAAAAGAAAA
This 750-nucleotide long non-coding RNA is filed under the name Homo sapiens (human). Its description in RNAcentral is "non-protein coding LINC00871:12". The record is from RNAcentral. Lineage: Eukaryota; Metazoa; Chordata; Mammalia; Primates; Hominidae.